This is a long non-coding RNA of Arachis ipaensis, 704 nucleotides long. RefSeq lists it as uncharacterized. NCBI's taxonomy places the organism in Eukaryota, Viridiplantae, Streptophyta, Magnoliopsida, Fabales, Fabaceae. The record is from RefSeq and is a predicted model, not a curated record.
AAGAGAAGAGUAUAAAGAAUAAAACAGGGAAUGGUGUCAGUGCAUGUGAUAAAAUAUUUGGCCACUAGCUAGUGAAGGGGAGAACGGACUUAUGCAUGUGACUUUUUCAACUUCAGACGGAGCUCUGGAGGCAGCACCUGCGACGGAGCUCUAGAGGCAACACCUGCAAAUUUUCCCCUCAUGUGUUCCUUCCUCUUCGCGGAAUUUGAGGAUCUGCACUGUUUCAAUGAGGGAGAAAGAGUAUUAUGAAAAGAAAAUUGCUACUCUCAAAUCAUUUGAUGAAGUCGAUUCCAUAGUGGCAUCUGACAGCAACAUUAUUGAGGACAUUGACGAUGGGGAACAUCUUCAACAAGAAAGAGCUAUGAGGAUUUCCAAUUAUUCAAACGUAGUUCUAUUGAUACUAAAGCUGUUGAUUUAUUAGAGAGAAUGAGGGAGGAAAAAGCAAAAAAUGCAUACCAAUUUUUGACAUGUGGUGGCUUUAAAAGAGGUUCGAGUUAUGCCAGAGUGUACAAGCUGAGAUAGAUAUAGUUGCUAGGUCUAAAUAGAUAUUAGAUAAAGUAUAGUUAUGUUGUUCAUGAAUUAUUUUUACAAUGUGUUAGUCUUAGAUUGUGGAUCGUAAAUCUGAUGUAUUUAAGAAUUUUCAAUAUUUUAAAUUCUAUAUUUCUAUGUAGACAUUGUGAAUGUUUUGGUAUUUAUUUAAAAAA